GACGAACGCUGGCGGCGUGCCUAAUACAUGCAAGUCGAACGCUUCUUUUUCCACCGGAGCUUGCUCCACCGGAAAAAGAGGAGUGGCGAACGGGUGAGUAACACGUGGGUAACCUGCCCAUCAGAAGGGGAUAACACUUGGAAACAGGUGCUAAUGCCGUAUAACAAUCAAAACCGCAUGGUUUUGAUUUGAAAGGCGCUUUCGGGUGUCGCUGAUGGAUGGACCCGCGGUGCAUUAGCUAGUUGGUGAGGUAACGGCUCACCAAGGCCACGAUGCAUAGCCGACCUGAGAGGGUGAUCGGCCACAUUGGGACUGAGACACGGCCCAAACUCCUACGGGAGGCAGCAGUAGGGAAUCUUCGGCAAUGGACGAAAGUCUGACCGAGCAACGCCGCGUGAGUGAAGAAGGUUUUCGGAUCGUAAAACUCUGUUGUUAGAGAAGAACAAGGAUGAGAGUAACUGUUCAUCCCUUGACGGUAUCUAACCAGAAAGCCACGGCUAACUACGUGCCAGCAGCCGCCGCGG
RNAcentral lists this ribosomal RNA (524 nucleotides) under uncultured bacterium. RNAcentral describes it as "partial 16S ribosomal RNA". It matches the Rfam family "Bacterial small subunit ribosomal RNA", at positions 28 to 523 of the family's 1533-position model. The record is from RNAcentral.